UAGAUACCCUGCUAUACCUGAGUUAGAGGUUUUGUACCGGGGUAAUAAGCAGUUAUUUUCUUGAAACCCAAAGAGUUUGGCGGUAGCUCAGCCUAGUUAGAGGAGCUUGUUCGGUAAACGAUAAUCCCCGAAAAAUCUUACGCGUUCUUGUAAACAGUUUAUAUACCGUCGUUGUCAGAUAAUGUUAAAAGGCAAAGAAUUAUCUUAAUAUGAACUAAAACAUAGUAUAUCAGAUCAAGGUGUAACUUAUGAAUGCGAGUUGAAUGAGCUACAAUUUAAGUUAUAAAUUACGAAAGGUGGUUUUAAAUAACCAGUGGAAGGCGGAUUUAACGGUAAUCUUAACUUUAGCAAGCUAAGAUGAUAUUAGCUCUGAGGUAUGUACACAUCGCCCGUC
RNAcentral lists this ribosomal RNA (394 nucleotides) under Acanthosquilla shoheii. RNAcentral describes it as "partial small subunit ribosomal RNA". It matches the Rfam family "Microsporidia small subunit ribosomal RNA", at positions 751 to 1200 of the family's 1311-position model. The record is from RNAcentral. Lineage: Eukaryota; Metazoa; Arthropoda; Malacostraca; Stomatopoda; Nannosquillidae.